GUAGCUUCGGCAGCACAUAUACUAAACUUGUAACAAUACAGAGAAGAUUAGCAUGGCCGCUGCGCAAGGGUGAUGCAAAUAAAAGCAAUAAAUAAAUAAGUACA
Small nuclear RNA from Sorex araneus (European shrew), 104 nucleotides. Lineage: Eukaryota; Metazoa; Chordata; Mammalia; Eulipotyphla; Soricidae. The record is from Ensembl.